Molecule: long non-coding RNA, 1252 nt
Filed under: Heterocephalus glaber (naked mole-rat)
Lineage: Eukaryota; Metazoa; Chordata; Mammalia; Rodentia; Bathyergidae
Description: lncRNA (ENSHGLG00000032245.1)
Source: RNAcentral
GUGAGUGCCUCAAGCCCUGCGGGAAAUCUGCCCCUGCCGACCGGCCCAGGGCUGCUGGAGGACCAAGCACCGGCUUUGGUUUUUCACGAACUGCUUGAAAACUCUCCUUUUACACCGGUGUCCACUGUGGUGGGCGGCGAUGGGGGCUUUGCAGAGCCCGGGUCUCGUUCCGUGUGCACAGCGCUGGGGACAGGCGGGGCUGGGGGUGCGGCUGGUUCCUCCAGAGUCUGAGCCCCAGGCCCUGCCCGCCGGGCGCACUUCCCAGCCGGGCGCCCCCACCCCGUCAGCGUCAGCGUCAGCGUCAGCGUCAGCGGAGCUUCUCCCCAGCGCAGACGCCUGCUCCCCCCCCAUCUCAAAAGGCAAACAAACCGCUUUCCCCUCCGUCUGUGUCCUCAGUUACCACUCGAUUCCGCAGAAGCCUGUAGUGUACCUUUUCAGAUUCCUGGUGGGAGGCAUAGCUCUCGUCCUAGUUACCCUUUGGCAGGGGAGAAGAUCUGCUUCAGGAGCCCCAGCUAACACUGACCCCCAACAUGACUGUGCCAGACACCAGAGGCAUCCUGGCCACAGGCAAGGCCCCAACGGACCUCCCAAGGCCCAUAAGCAAAGCUAAGGGUUCUAUGAGCAGCUUUCCCUGGAGCCACGCAGAGUCCUCCCCAUCCAGGUUCCAAACGGCUCUCCCACCGCUGGCUUCCUGGACCUCCACCUCAGCUCAGCCUGGGCAGUCCUGCUGCUCCUCUCCCGAAGAGAAGAUGGGGGCCCACAGAGACCGCCGGCGAGAUCCCCUGGUCCUGUGCUGUGUGUGGCUCCCACUCACCACCUUGUGCGCUUCCCUGCCCUUGAGUCCUGGAGACACAAAUACAUGCAGCUAAUCACCUCUUUUUAGUCACUCGUUCACUUGACAAUAGUGCAUCGAUACAUACUUAUGGAGCAUUUGUUUGACGCAUUCGGUCUUCUACCAUGGCAGGACCUGGGGAACGCUGUAAACGUGACUUUGUCCUGGACCUCAAGGACCUUCCGGCCUCCCGAGAGCUUCAGCAGGUGUAUUCACCAGUUUUCCUCACUCUUACAAAACACCCAAUGCAGGCCAUUCAUGCAGAAAGAGGUUUAUGCCACUCAGUUUGGGAGCUUCAAAGCCGUGGUACCUCCAUUGGCUGAUACAGUAUAAAAAGUUGAGUGAAAGUUUGGGUUGCAGUUAAGGGGAAGGGGAAGGAUAGGAGGGAAAAUAAAACAUGUUACUGCAUGCGUGAAUGUG